This 809-nucleotide ribosomal RNA is filed under the name uncultured marine microorganism. RNAcentral describes it as "bacterial SSU rRNA". It matches the Rfam family "Bacterial small subunit ribosomal RNA", at positions 8 to 814 of the family's 1533-position model. The record is from RNAcentral.
AGAGUUUGAUCCUGGCUCAGAUUGAACGCUGGCGGCAGGCCUAACACAUGCAAGUCGAACGGUAACAUUUCUAGCUUGCUAGAAGAUGACGAGUGGCGGACGGGUGAGUAAUGCUUGGGAACUUGCCUUUGCGAGGGGGAUAACAGUUGGAAACGACUGCUAAUACCGCAUAACGUCUACGGACCAAACGGGGCUUAGGCUCCGGCGCAAAGAGAGGCCCAAGUGAGAUUAGCUAGUUGGUAAGGUAAUGGCUUACCAAGGCAACGAUCUCUAGCUGUUCUGAGAGGAAGAUCAGCCACACUGGAACUGAGACACGGUCCAGACUCCUACGGGAGGCAGCAGUGGGGAAUAUUGCACAAUGGGGGAAACCCUGAUGCAGCCAUGCCGCGUGUGUGAAGAAGGCCUUCGGGUUGUAAAGCACUUUCAGUUGUGAGGAAAAGUUAGUAGUUAAUACCUGCUAGCCGUGACGUUAACAACAGAAGAAGCACCGGCUAACUCCGUGCCAGCAGCCGCGGUAAUACGGAGGGUGCGAGCGUUAAUCGGAAUUACUGGGCGUAAAGCGCACGCAGGCGGUUUGUUAAGCUAGAUGUGAAAGCCCCGGGCUCAACCUGGGAUAGUCAUUUAGAACUGGCAGACUAGAGUCUUGGAGAGGGGAGUGGAAUUCCAGGUGUAGCGGUGAAAUGCGUAGAUAUCUGGAGGAACAUCAGUGGCGAAGGCGACUCCCUGGCCAAAGACUGACGCUCAUGUGCGAAAGUGUGGGUAGCGAACAGGAUUAGAUACCCUGGUAGUCCACACCGUAAACGCUGUCU